Vicia faba (fava bean) is the source of this 273-nucleotide non-coding RNA. The record is from the annotation of a GenBank genome assembly. NCBI's taxonomy places the organism in Eukaryota, Viridiplantae, Streptophyta, Magnoliopsida, Fabales, Fabaceae.
AUGGGGUUCCGGUCGUAUGUGGGUCGUGUAACCAAAGAGUGUAACCUCGCUGUCGAGAAGCUUCUGCUCAAGAUGAAGGAGGUGGUGGAUUCAAGGACGAAGGGUAAUAGUACGGGGUUGAUUAAGGGAGGCAAAAUUGGCGUUGGCAUUGGCAAUGGCAAUGAUCCUGGUGUUGUGCAAAAUGGAUUUCAUCAUGUGGCUUAUAAGGGAAACGGUAAAGCGGUUGACAAGCAAGAUGUUGGGAGAAAUCGUAUAUCUGAUGAUGUUGUUUGA